CUUCACUAUUAGGAAGUGGAGAACAACAUACUGUGUUACCUUAUAUGCUUCUACUGUAUUUUAAAGUUGUGUUUCUGGUGGUUUUGUUCAUUUAUGUUGGGUGGAUGAAUUUGUGAGUGAAUGACAUCAGGUGUCUCCCCAAGUGGUUUGUUGAAGUUUGGGAGAAUUAUUUCCUAAGUAACUAUUUCAUGAAAAACUAAACACUCAAUUUAUGAAAUAAAAUGUUGUCUUAAAUCGAUUUUUAUAAAGGCAAUAGUUUUUAACUGUUCUAAGUGGUUCAUUUUAACUGAAUAUAUGGAUUUCUCAACAGAACAAGACUUAAAGCUGACAUCAGAGGAAGAGUCACAAAGGUUCAAAGGCAGUGAAAAUAGCCAGCCAGAGAAAAUGUCUCAAGAACCAGAAAUAAAUAAGGAUGGUGAUAGAGAGGUUGAAGAAGAAAUGAAGAAGCAUGAAAGUAAUAAUGUGGGAUUACUAGAAAACCUGACUAAUGGUGUCACUGCUGGCAAUGGUGAUGAUGGAUUAAUUCCUCAAAGGAAUAGCAGAACACCUGAAAAUCAGCAAUUUCCUGACAACGAAAGUGAAGAGUAUCACAGAAUUUGUGAAUUACUUUCUGACUACAAAGAAAAACAGAUGCCAAAAUACUCUUCCGAAAACAGCAACCCAGGUAAGACUUGUGAUAGUGAAUUACUUUAGGUCAGUUGUCCACAAUCUUUUUGGC
RNAcentral lists this long non-coding RNA (718 nucleotides) under Pan troglodytes (chimpanzee). RNAcentral describes it as "lncRNA (ENSPTRG00000054232.1)". Lineage: Eukaryota; Metazoa; Chordata; Mammalia; Primates; Hominidae. The record is from RNAcentral.